This is a long non-coding RNA of Leucoraja erinaceus (little skate), 9492 nucleotides long. RefSeq lists it as uncharacterized. The record is from RefSeq and is a predicted model, not a curated record. NCBI's taxonomy places the organism in Eukaryota, Metazoa, Chordata, Chondrichthyes, Rajiformes, Rajidae. The transcript is spliced from 4 exons.
GAAAAAUUGUCUCAAAUGAAUGAGUGAAAUGUGAAGCCAGAUUGAGGGGAAUAAAAGGGAAAUGGGGGUGGGAGUAGUAGUAGAUGACCAUGCAGGAGGAAAAUUGAAUCUAUUCCACCAAUUCAGUCAGCUUGAGCUGACUAAAUAUUUAGCCUGCUUUGAUACCAAACAUCAAGAUAUGUUUUAGUCUUACCCCUGUAGUCCGCCACAGAGAGUAGCGUUUAAAAGUCAAAAGUCGUAGUUAGUGUCAAAGGUUUGGUCAUAGUUUUAGGAUUUUUAAUAUUUCUUUAAAAAAAAACUGAUUACUGUCAGCAGGAGUCUUGUUUAUUUAUACCUCGGAAGCAGUUUACAUUUUUGAAAACUUGUAUAAAAUAGCUGUUAACAUUGAGGUGCAGCCUACACACAACUUGUACAUGCAGAUCUGGAGGCUGGCAUGUAAACUUACUGCCUUACAGACCCAGGUUCAAUCCUGACUGAAUUUGCAAGUUAAUUGGCUUCUGUAAAUUGUCUCUAAUGUGUAGGAUAGUGCUCUUGUAGAGGGUGUUGACUAGACGUUGCAGACUCAAUGGGCCGAAGGGCCUGUUUCCACGCUGUAACCUUUUUUAAAAUGAGAUCUUUCACAGUUAACAAUGGAGAUCAUUGGAAAAUUGUACUUCAUGCAACACUCAUUAAAAUAAAUAUGACAUUUGUAUUAAUAUAACUUUUUUUUAAAGUCAGAAAAAUUACUGAAAGAGCUACCGAGAAUGACAGACACAGCGAGCCAGGCAACAUCACUAGAUAGAAGGAUUGGGUGACUGGGCCAAGAGCAUUCAGACAGUCGGGAGAGGGAGACACAGAUAAUAAUAAUAAUACAUUUUAUUUAAUGGGCGCCUUUCAGACAUCUCAAGGACACCUUACAUAGUAAUCGGACUAAAAUAAGUAAUAAAGACAUCACAGAGGCACAAAUUAAAAACAGAAUUCAAUCCAAAAACAGAAAAUCAAAUACACAGUGUGAAGAGAGAGCAGCCAAAGCGCGCCAGCGUCCACUCUCUCUUCACGGCAGCCAUCCUGCACACAGACCUACAGGGUUACAAUUAGACAAAAAAAUCAUCCCCCCACAGUGGAUAGCACUGUGGGGGAAGGCACAGUGUCCAGUCCCCACCCCAUGUUCACCCCAAAGUCAGGCCUAUUGAGGCCACCGCAAUUGCCCUACGGAGGCCCGAUGUCCCUGGCCGUUCUCACCGGGUGGUCUUGCCCCGGCGUUGGGAGAGUCCUUUCGGCGGCUGGGCCACCUGGAAGGGCCGCGGCUGCCGAAGCCGACAAGGCCGCGCCGGUUUGGAGCUCCCAGGCUCCCGAUGAUAAAGACGGCGCAGCCUCUCCGCAGCCCGGAGAUGUUGCUCUCGGCGGUCCAGCUCGCCAGAGCUCCAGCGCGGUGGCCCAGGCAAGGGUCUGCGGCUCCAGCGCUGUGCCGAGGUGCUGGGCGGUCCCCGCCAGGAAACGGCGCUCCAAGACAGCUGGUAGGCCACGAGGACGGGUCGACGGGCAGCGCGGAGAAAAGGCUGCCACACCGACCAGGUAGGGACCUAGAAAUAAAGUUACACCUACCCCACACAUUAAAAAGACCAUAUCCCCUGCAAACUAAAAACAGGACUCACUAAAAACUAUUUAAAAAACGAAUUUAAAACGGACGGCUGCUGGCUAGCAGCCGCUCACCAAGAUGGCUCCUCCCCUACUGAAGGUAGGGAAGAUAAGGAAGGGUAAGGUAUGAAAAAGACAUCAAAAGAGACAAAGUUCAGGGAAAAUGUAGAAUAGAUCAUUGUUAGCUAGGAGAAGGUGUAACUACAUAGCAAACAGGUAAAAUGUGAUCUGACUGAGAAAGGGCAGGGAUGGAGAGAUGGAAAGCAAGGGCUACAAAGUUAGAUAAGUCAAUAUUCGUACCCCAAAACGAUUGCUGAGCCUGUGCUUGGUCUCGCCAAUAUAUAGAAGUCCAUACCUGGAAUAGCAGAUAAUGUUGAAAGAAGUGCAAUGAACCUCCACCUCGCCCGAAAAGACUGUCUGGAUCCUUGGACGGAGUCAAGGGAGGAGGUGUUGCACCUCUUUUGGUUGCAGGAGAAAGUACCUGGGGAGUGGGUGGUUUGAAUGGGAAGAAACGAGUUAACUUGGGAGUUGUGGAGAUGGGAAGAUGUGUAGUGGUGGAAUCGCGUUGGAGGUUGGGAAACUCGAAAGAUUAUGUGCUGUAUGUGACGGCUGAGGUGAAAGGUGAGGAGUAGGGGGACUCUUGCGACUGAUGGGGGGGAAGAAAUGUAGUUUAGAUACAGUGCCCUCCACAAUGUUUGGGACAAAGACUCAUUUAUUUAUUUGCCUCUACUUCACAAUUUGAGAUUUGUAAUAUAAAAUAAUCACAUUAGUUAAAGUGCACAUUUUCAGAUUUUAAUAAGGGACAUUUUUAUACAUUUUAGUUUCACCAUGUAGAAAUUACAGCAGUGUUUAUACAUAAUCUGAAAUAUGGCUGCAAUACAGGCCUGGCAAACCAUCACCAGAGAAAACACAAAGCAACUGGUGAUGCCCAUGAAUCACAUACUUCAAGCAGUCAUUGCAUGCAAAGGAUAUGCAACAAAAUACUAAACAUGACUACUUUCAUUUAUAUGGCAUUGGUGUGUCCCAAACAUUAUGGUGCUCUGAAAUGGGGGGGGGGGGGCUUUGUAUAAACACUGCUGUGAUUUCUACAUGGUGAAACCAAAAUGUAUAAACAUUGACUUUAUUAAAAUCUGACAAAGUGCACUUCACAUGCUAUUUUUUUCUAUUACAAAUCUCCAAUUGUGGAGUACAGAAGCAAAUAAAUUAAUGAUGGGUCUUUGUCCCAAACAUUAUGGAGGGUACGGUAGCAGAACUCACAGACUUCAUGAACUCCCUGACUGAUUGUUGGUAAGGAGGCUGAGACCGUUUUGGUGACGGGAUGAAGUGUAGAAUUUGGGUCCAGACAUUUGAGAAGGAAGGACACCUGUGAACAUUGGACAAAGAGGGGAGAUAGGAAAAUGUCACAUGUCAAAUCACUGGAGGAACUCUAGCGGGUCAAGCAGCAUCUGUGUAGAAGGAAGGACUACUCAACAUUUCUGGUCGAGGCCCUUUCCCUCCGCAUCUCCACUUGAGUUCUUCCAUCAAUUUUUUUUUUUGCACCAGAUUGCAGUCGUGUGUCCUUAUAUGUUGAUAUUUGUAGACUUCUGCAUUUUCAUCUGUCAAUGGGGUGAUUAAGCAAUCUGCCACAGUGCAGAUUGCAACAUUGGCUCCAGGAAAUCAUCUUUGCAAAGGGGGAUGGCCACAAGGGAAAUUGCAGUGGGCUGAAGGAAUUGGAAAUUUAAAUACAUUGGGGUUUCCAAGAUAUGCUUCCAUACACAAAAUGCACAUUUAUGCUAAUUUAGUCCUAUUUAUACAUACUUUAAAUCUUGGUGGAAGGAGAUUUGUAAGAAACUUGAAUAUUUUUUAUCAUUUUUGAAUAUAUUAUAUUUCGAACGGCUUUGGAUUCAUUUUGAGGUCAAACUUCCCUGAGAAGCUAUUCACUAUAUAGUGAAAAAUCAUAAUGUUAAAAUCUGUAGGCAGUGAAUAAGGAAAGUUUCCCCAUGUGCAUUAGGGAGUGUGUUGAACUUCACCCACUGUAAAGUUGUAUUGCAACAUAAUAUUUAUGGGUAAUUAAGUGUUCAUUCUGUUAAGUAUUCAAAGAGAUUGCAAUUUAACUUUUUAGUACAAGCUCUUUUAAGGCUUGGUUGGGGGAAGGAUGGGAGAGAAUAAUUUAGCAGUUUAGCAAAACCUGUUCAUAAGUGGUUCUUUCACAUUUGAAUACUGAAUAUGAGCAAGUGAUUCAACCCACACACUUAUGCAAUUUUGUGGGAGGAUUGGUCUCUAAUAGUGAGGAGAAGGAAAUGAUUUCCUUCCUUGGCCACAAAUAGUGAGAGGUGGAAGUCUGCCAAUCACAGUUAUGUCCUCUGCUAUCCAAGCUGAGAUCAAAUUUAGAAUUGAACAGAAAUCAAUGUGUAAGAGGCAGAGCCUUAACCAAUUGAUUUUUAUUUUUUCAAAGUACAGGUAUCACUGCCAAGCAAUCUACUUUGCCAAAUAGGAUCUAACCAUUAAUCACACACUGUUUCUGCAACUCGUAUCUGGUUCUUAACCUGAGUAUUCUGGAGCAUAAUUCACUAAUUAUUACCAAAUGCCCUCUUUUUUUUCUUUCAGUCACUUUUGUCACAUUUUAUUGUACGGUUACCUUCCUCUCACCGGAAAUCCAUUAUCAAAGCUUCACUGUUAUAAACUAUUAAGUUGCUGUUGUAGAACAACCUUGACUUCUCUAUACGAUCAAAGAUUUCAUUCCUAAUUCUAUUCCAGCAAAUAAUUUCCUGGUGCUUUUGCUCUUUUACAAUACUACUUAAGUAACAGUGAUCCACAUGGCCAGUGAUGUUUUAAAUUACUGCACCUCUGUUCUUCAUGUCCUCUAUCUUCCUUGGCAGAGUCUUAUCACAGGUCUGUCUCAGUGUAAUUAUCACAUUUUGAACUUUGGCUUAUAUUUACAAAGUAGCUAAAACAUAACAGGCAUUUGUGUCCAACAUGUGUGUGUAAAUGAACGCCUCUCUGCUCUCCAACUGAACACCAUCUAUCUCUUUUCCUUCAGGUGCUUAUCUGGUUUCCCUUUAAAUGCUAAUCAUCUCACCUAUUUCUGGUUCCACGUGCUUAUCGCUUUCCUGAAUUUUAUGGAUGGCUUAGUAACUAGCCCACAUUUAUAGUUGCUGCUUCUGGUCUUGCCCGCAAAUCUAAUUUUCUAUACCUAAUCCAUCAAAGCCUUCUAUUUCAAAAGACCCUAACAGGCCUUUCAUCUGGAAGAACCGUUCCUGUCCAUUAAUCUUUCCUGAUAACUAUUCAGUUCUGGUGUCUAUCAUCACCCCUCUCUCCCUGCCUGACUCGUUUACCAAUCAUUAUAAGUUCAUAGGUGAAAGGAGCAGAAAUAGGCCAUUCAGCCCAUCAAGUCUAUGGCGCCAUUCAAUCAUGGCUUAUCUGUCUUUCCCUUCCAACCCCAUUCGCCUGCCUUGCCAACCCCUGACACCCUUGCUAAUCAAGGACCCUUCUUCAGACUCAUCUGUCCCUGUUCUACGCCGAUGCUGUCUGGAAGUGCUCAGUUACUUCAGCACUUUGUUUCUGCUAAUGAAGCAGGCAGUUUUUCCAGGGAUGGUGUCAAGAUUUAUGUGUUUGGUUGUGUGAUCUCCCAGCUUUCGAUCCUUAAACGUCUUUGCACAGCCUUUCUCUGUGAUAUAAAAACAGAAAUAAGUAAAACAUGGACCAUUGUAAAACCCAACAUUAUUCCUCUGCACACACCUUGAUGUUGCCACACUUAUUUUCUCCAAGAUUAACUUACAAUAGACCCUUCACUGACACAUUAGCAAUAAACAAAUUGAUCAAAACUUGCUGGAUAUUUGCCCAUGACGUCUUGAUUAUGUUCUGUGAAUUGCACCAACUAGAAAUUGGCACCAGAACAUCUAGUUUUUAGGAACUUCAAUUUGGAUCAUUGCAAUGUCUCAGAUAACAUUUGAAUCACUGCUGUAUUACUGUGGAUGGACGUCUCCCUCAAGUGGUGUCAGUCUUUCAUUGCACCAUUCGAUACAUCUACCGCAGUAAUCCACAGCUUUCUUGGGAGAUCCAAAUUGACAUAUUUAUCACACUCAAAAAGUGCAUUUUCCGAGGUUUAAUGUGCCGUGCGCGAGGUCAUUGCGACUCUACACUACAAAGCCAAUGGUCUGGGCUCUCUAUGGAUGGUCAAUGUUUAAGAUCUUAAGAUUUCUUAAGAUCUUGAAUCUGUUGAUUCUGUACCACAGGAUUUCUUUUGGUAUUUGAUUUUAAUACAUUGGUUCCUUGUCCACGCCGUUAGAUGCGUGCCCUCGUUCGUGAGUACAGGUAAUAUUUAUAACAUACCUCCAUUAUUUGGUGUGGUUGAGUUGUGAACCCGACUGAAAUUUGGCGUUGAUGUGUCAUUAAUGUGCCCUAACUAACCAUUUUGUAGCUUCUGUUCACAGAAGAUUGCUGCAAGCUCUCCUGAUGGGUUGACGUUCCGGUACGAGCCUCUGGGUUACAGCGUCCUUACUCAGGCAUUCAUUGCGAGCUGCCUGAGAGGAUUUUUCUUGCACAUUCUACCGGGGACUUUCGAGUGUGAUGAUCGGAAGUGGCUAUGUUCUUUGUUUCUGGCUCCAGUCUGGUCUUAGUUACUGGUCCAUGAACAUGUCAGCCGUGCCGUGAAGUUGGAGACAUAUUUUGCGAGUCUUAAAAUGGCUUAUUUUCAGGUAUUCCACAGCUCGUCCUUUUCAUUUUGUUCUUACUUAUUUGGUCAGAUGUUUGUAUCUGAUUUCCAAAGAUAGUAUUUUUCUGAUGACGGCUGAUGGUAUUUGCACUUCCAGUCUUGGAAGGCUCAGUCUUCCAUUUAAGUUCCGUGCAUGAAGGAUAUCAUCUGUGGUCUCACUCGGCACUCGGCCUCUCUCUUUCACCGUUGUCUUUAUUAGAUUUCUGAGAUGCUUUCAUAAGGAUAAGGUGGAAAUAUAGGUUCGGGACCUCAUGAGGCCUAAUGGGCCUGUCCCACUUAGGCAACUUUUUAGGCGACUACAGGAGACUAUGCGGUCGGCAAAUGAUCGCGGGUAGUUGCGGGGGGUUCGCCUUCAUGGUCGUGAAUAGUCCCUGCAUUCUUGGAACUAGUCGCGGCUUCAUACUGGAUGCCGCUAGUUUUUCAACAUGUUGAAAAAUUAGCAGCGGCCAGAAUGAAGCUGCUAUGGAGAGUAGCGGGGAUUCUCGUGCUGUAGGUGCAGUGGUAGUGGGUCGCCAGGAGGUCGUAGAUUGUCGCUGGUGCUGACCAAUUUCAUUGGCUCAUUGGGGACAGAAACGUAAACAGUAGUUUUCAGAACCAAGGAUAACCGACCGGUAAUGUUAAUGUCCGCCGAACUUCACAGCCGUGUAUUGUUGGCUUCUUAAAAGUUGUGUCCACUCUUUCUCCCCACUUCUUCCCCACCCCUCUUUUAAAGGACUUAAGUGACCCUUCCCGUACACUGCUUUCACUGUCUUAAUUGACUUGACUUGACAGUCGCCUGAAAAAUCACUUAAGUGGGACAGGGAUAAGUGUCUCAAUCCUUUGCAAUGGUUUUGACUGUGGAUUUGGUUGUUGCUUCAUGGCCAAUUACAAAACCCACGUUAACCCAAGUAGCUUUAAGAUAAAAACAAAUGUUGGUGGGUUCUUUUAGGCUGCCAAGCGAUUUAUCGAACUUGGAGUACUAGUUCUCUUCAGUAGUUCCAGACCAGGGAUCGAUACGUGCACGAAGGUAUUUCUAGAUCUCCCCUGGAUUUAUGUAUUCGAUUGAGCCCUUAUUUAUUAACCAGUUGUUUAAAGGGUUGAAGACAUAUGUCUUCCUUUUGGUGACCAUAUGGAAGCUCUUGGUCUUUCUCACAUUAAUUUCCAGCCUGUAUGCAUGCAUAAUGUUUGCAGGAUUUUCAAUCAUACCAUUACAUGAAUCAUUAAGGAUUGCAAUACCUUCUGCGAAGGUUAGAGCUGCACAGCUAGCCUGCUGUUCUCCAUUUUUCAAAAGCACUCCUUGUCCGUUCUUCUGGAAUGUACAAAUCAGUGAGUCCAAUGCGAUAUUGGAGAGGUUCGGAGACAUAGGUUCCCCUUGUUUGACUCCUCUGUUUAUCAAGUUGGGCUUUGUUUUCUCUGCCGGGUUUGACCACAGUUGUUGUUUCUGCAUAUAGAUCAUAUUAGUGAAAGGCCUUGUUGUUUCUGAAUAUAGAUCUUAUUAGCGAUCUAUAAACUUUCGUGGCAAUCCCAUUCUUUCCAGUGACUUACACAAAUGUGUCCAACAGAAUCGAAUGCUUUGGCCAAAUCAGUGAAGACGAUCGUCAGUUCUUUGUCUUCUUGACCCCAUUCAUGAUGCGCACAGGUGUUAAAAAGAUUCACCUUCAUCGGGAGUCAUUCCUUACUAAAGGGCCUGUCCCACUUUCACAAACUAAUUCACGAUCUUUUUUACUCAUGGACAUUUUUCAUCAUGUUGAAAAAACGCCCAGACCUACUUGAUGCCACGAGUACCUACGACUAGCAUCACAAGCUACCUACGACCUACCUUCGACCUCGUGACGACCAUGCUGCGAGUACGAGUCAAGGGCAAACUCGGCAGAGGUCGUGAAAGUGGGACAGGCCCUUAAAUGAUAGGGGCAUCUCACAAAAAUGUGAUUUUAUCCUAAAGAUACUCAUAAUAACCUGGGCGUUAUUAUAAAGCAACAGCCAAUCUCAGAGAAAGGUACUGACAAUAUUAUUGGUGUGGAUGUGAUCCAAGUAACUGAGCAACCAAUAACAGUUUUGAAUUCUCGGAAAUGGUAGAACAGCAUUAUCCGCUAAUUUUUAAUUUGCUUCAAACAUUUUGCAGAAAGUAAAAUAAAGAUUAGAAGCAUACACAUGAAAUUAAAAUAGACCCUAAACAUUUAAAACUGAAAUUGUGAAAUUAUUGGCCGAGGAAAUGAUAGUUCACAAAAGAUUAGAAGUUCAAGGUCAGAGUUUGCUAAAUAGUAAUUAUGGCUUACUAUGCUGUUUAAAACUCACAUCUCAAUCAACAAUGUGUAACAUUGUCAGGGUAUUUUACAGCCAGAAUAGUUGGCACGCAUUUGGAGAUCCUAUCAAUUUACGAUCGUACUGGAAAACCCAGCAACCAAGCUUCCUAUAGACACAAGUUAUCUCAGAGAGUGAGGUCUGGAGUUCCUACCUAAUUAUACGUGGUUUCUCCAGCUGUUGCUAUGAAGCUUUCUCUCUUAUAAUGAUUGGGACCAGCUUUCACCGGAAGGAGCCAGUGCGCUACCAGGUGAACCAGCCGCUGCCCUGGAAGGUUCAGAACGUCAGCCGCAAUCGAAGGUCCAGUCGGGUUGACGAGGAAGGACGGAGGCUCUCGAUGAAGCCGUGCUAAUCGUUCGCAGGGCAACACAGCAAGAGGUGUUAAACGUUGGGAAGAAAAUAUCUUUGCGGAACUCAGCCUGGAGAGUGUAGCUAUGACCAUCCAGACACAAUACCGGAGAUAUCAAGAAUGCAAAAAGUAUGAACAAAAUCCAUAAGUGAUGUGGAGACACAAGAGACUGCAGAUGUAGGAAUCCCGAGCAAAAAACAAACCGCUAGAGGGACUCAGCGGGCCAGGAAGCGUCUGUGGAGGCAAAUGCUGGGUCAGGACCUUCCAAAUGUUGUCUGUCCAUUGCCUCAACAGAUGUGGUCUGGACCACUGAGUUCCUCCAGCAAUUUGUUACUUCCAUAAAUGAUGUGUUCUUGAAGAUGUCCCUCAUGUGUAAUGUUGAAUAUAAGGCCAAGUGAUUGGAAUUUAACAUUAAUGUUUAGAUACCAGGUCACAGACGUAAAGCUAGUUCAUGUCCAUUCUCCUGUAUGUGUCUUAUUGAUCUGUAUAUUUCCAUGAUCUUUAAUAAAGAUUAGGAGGACAUGAACCAAAUGCUAUAACAAGGAAUUGCAGA